Molecule: ribosomal RNA, 400 nt
Filed under: uncultured bacterium
Lineage: Bacteria
Description: bacterial SSU rRNA
Rfam family: Bacterial small subunit ribosomal RNA
Source: RNAcentral
GGGGAAUAUUGGACAAUGGGCGCAAGCCUGAUCCAGCAAUUCCGCGUGGGUGAAGAAGGUCUUCGGAUUGUAAAGCCCUUUCGACGGGGACGAUGAUGACGGUACCCGUAGAAGAAGCCCCGGCUAACUUCGUGCCAGCAGCCGCGGUAAUACGAAGGGGGCUAGCGUUGCUCGGAAUUACUGGGCGUAAAGGGCGCGUAGGCGGCUUACCUAGUCAGGCGUGAAAUUCCUGGGCUCAACCUGGGGGCUGCGUUUGAUACUUGUAGGCUAGAGGAUGGAAGAGGGUCGUGGAAUUCCCAGUGUAGAGGUGAAAUUCGUAGAUAUUGGGAAGAACACCGGUGGCGAAGGCGGCGACCUGGUCCAUUACUGACGCUGAGGCGCGACAGCGUGGGGAGCAAAC